UCUCACUGCUUUAAAAUUCUUAAUUUUAUCUUCGAACUUGUAUUUUUAAGUGAAGUCUAAUCGGACAAAGGACCACGCAUUUGAACAGAAGAGAUACACACAGUAUGUGUUUCCACUACCAUUCUAUGUUGCCCUGUUUGCAUAGAGAAUUCCAGUGACCCACUGUGGAUAAAGUGAAGGUUCCUAUGCCCAGGAUUCUCACCUGGCCCUGUUUGACUGGCUCACUACACAGGUUUUCUGACACUGAGGAGCACAUGGGAGAAUUACAAGAGGAGCACACACCCUCUUGAGUUUAAGUAUUGGCAUGUGACUUGCACUGGCCACGACAGGACAUGGGCCACUUUCUGGAGAAAACAUUAAAUACUGAUGAAUGGGUCUCCAUCUUUUCUUCCCACUGCCACAGUGAAGGCACGAUCAGGCGCCAGAUCACAAAGACCCCAAGUGCAGUGGCAUGUCAUGUGUCCAUCUGAGACCUCUUCCCGGCUUGAGAUAAAGACACUUCUCACUAUCCUUGGUGGUGGGGAAAGGUGGAGCUGAGAGACCUCUGUCAAUGAAUGAAUAAAUUAAUUAAUGAAAUCAAAUAAAA
Manis pentadactyla (Chinese pangolin) is the source of this 586-nucleotide long non-coding RNA. RefSeq lists it as uncharacterized. The record is from RefSeq and is a predicted model, not a curated record. The transcript has 3 exons. NCBI's taxonomy places the organism in Eukaryota, Metazoa, Chordata, Mammalia, Pholidota, Manidae.